Molecule: ribosomal RNA, 441 nt
Filed under: uncultured bacterium
Lineage: Bacteria
Description: partial 16S ribosomal RNA
Rfam family: Bacterial small subunit ribosomal RNA
Source: RNAcentral
CCUACGGGUGGCAGCAGUGGGGGAUAUUGCACAAUGGGGGAAACCCUGAUGCAGCGACGCCGCGUGGGUGAAGAAGUAUUUCGGUAUGUAAAGCCCUAUCAGCAGGGAAGAAAGAAGACGGUACCUGACUAAGAAGCCUCGGCUAACUACGUGCCAGCAGCCGCGGUAAUCCGUAGGGGGCGAGCGUUAGCCGGAUUCACUGGGUGUAAAGGGAGCGUAGACGGCCGUGCAAGCCAGGAGUGAAAGCCCGGGGCCCAACCCCGGGACUGCUCUUGGAACUGUGCGGCUGGAGUGCGGGAGGGGCAGGCGGAAUUCCUGGUGUAGCGGUGAAAUGCGUAGAUAUCAGGAGGAACACCGGCGGCGAAGGCGGCCUGCUGGACCGCGACUGACGUUGAGGCUCGAAAGCGUGGGGAGCGAACAGGAUUAGAUACCCCGGUAGUC